Molecule: transfer RNA, 69 nt
Filed under: Neoachiropsetta milfordi
Lineage: Eukaryota; Metazoa; Chordata; Actinopteri; Pleuronectiformes; Rhombosoleidae
Description: tRNA-Arg
Rfam family: tRNA
About the family: Transfer RNA (tRNA) molecules are approximately 80 nucleotides in length. Their secondary structure includes four short double-helical elements and three loops (D, anti-codon, and T loops).
Source: RNAcentral
AGGCAGUUAGUAUAAGAAAAAUAUUUGAUUUCGACUCAAAAGCUUAUGGUUUGACUCCAUAGCUGCCAA